UGGGGAAUUUUGGACAAUGGGCGCAAGCCUGAUCCAGCCAUGCCGCGUGCGGGAAGAAGGCCUUCGGGUUGUAAACCGCUUUUGUCAGGGAAGAAAUCUUCUGAGUUAAUACCUCGGGAGGAUGACGGUACCUGAAGAAUAAGCACCGGCUAACUACGUGCCAGCAGCCGCGGUAAUACGUAGGGUGCAAGCGUUAAUCGGAAUUACUGGGCGUAAAGCGUGCGCAGGCGGUUUUGUAAGACAGAGGUGAAAUCCCCGGGCUCAACCUGGGAACUGCCUUUGUGACUGCAAGGCUUGAGUGCGGCAGAGGGGGGAUGGAAUUCCGCGUGUAGCAGUGAAAAUGCGUGAGAUAUGCGGAGGAACACCGAUGGCGGAAAGGCAAAUCCCCCUGGGGCCUGCACUGACGCUCAUGCACGAAAAGCGUGGGGAGCAAAACAGGAUUAGAUACCCUGGUAGUCCACGCCCUAAAACGAUGUCAACUGGUUGUUGGGAGGGUUCCUUCUCAGUAACGUAGCUAAACGCGUGAAAGUUGACCGCCUGGGGGAGUACGGCCGCAAGGUUGAAAACUCAAAA
RNAcentral lists this ribosomal RNA (573 nucleotides) under uncultured bacterium. Its description in RNAcentral is "partial 16S ribosomal RNA". It matches the Rfam family "Bacterial small subunit ribosomal RNA", at positions 355 to 906 of the family's 1533-position model. The record is from RNAcentral.